Molecule: long non-coding RNA, 160 nt
Organism: Eurytemora carolleeae
Lineage: Eukaryota; Metazoa; Arthropoda; Copepoda; Calanoida; Temoridae
Exons: 2
Source: RefSeq, a predicted model, not a curated record
AAGGUUAGAUGUUAGGUUCUUUCCCAAAGGCAUUUCCCAAGCGUUGCCACUUGGGAAAUUGAUACUUGGGAAGUCGCCCUUAUAUGGGGAAUGUAUGUUACUACAAAGAAUUCCUACAGUUCUAGAUACUAUAUUCGUUGAAAUAUAAAAAAAAAAAUUU